UGAGGAAUUUUGCGCAAUGGGAGCAAUCCUGACGCAGCAACGCCGCGUGGGUGAUGAAGGCCUUCGGGUCGUAAAGCCCUGUCAGGUGGGAAGAAUGUCCCGGGACUGAACAGGUUUCGGGAGUGACGGUACCACCAGAGGAAGCACCGGCUAACUCCGUGCCAGCAGCCGCGGUAAUACGGAGGGUGCAAGCGUUAUUCGGAAUUACUGGGCGUAAAGCGCGUGUAGGCGGUCCCGAAGGUCUGAGGUGAAAGCCCCGGGCGUAACCCGGGAAGGGCAUUGGAAACUGUGGGACUUGAGUACUGGAGAGGAUGGGGGAAUUCCCGGUGUAGAGGUGAAAUUCGUAGAGAUCGGGAGGAAUAUCAGUGGCGAAGGCGCCCAUCUGGACGGUAACUGACGCUGAGACGCGAAAGCGUGGGGAGCAAACA
RNAcentral lists this ribosomal RNA (428 nucleotides) under uncultured prokaryote. Its description in RNAcentral is "bacterial SSU rRNA". It matches the Rfam family "Bacterial small subunit ribosomal RNA", at positions 355 to 774 of the family's 1533-position model. The record is from RNAcentral.